This 492-nucleotide ribosomal RNA is filed under the name uncultured bacterium. Its description in RNAcentral is "partial 16S ribosomal RNA". It matches the Rfam family "Bacterial small subunit ribosomal RNA", at positions 29 to 507 of the family's 1533-position model. The record is from RNAcentral.
AGUGAACGCUGGCGGUAGGCCUAACACAUGCAAGUCGAACGGCAGCACAGUAAGAGCUUGCUCUUACGGGUGGCGAGUGGCGGACGGGUGAGGAAUACAUCGGAAUCUACUUUUUCGUGGGGGAUAACGUAGGGAAACUUACGCUAAUACCGCAUACGACCUACGGGUGAAAGCAGGGGAUCUUCGGACCUUGCGCGAUUGAAUGAGCCGAUGUCGGAUUAGCUAGUUGGCGGGGUAAAGGCCCACCAAGGCGACGAUCCGUAGCUGGUCUGAGAGACUGAUCGGCCACACUGGAACUGAGACACGGUCCAGACUCCUACGGGAGGCAGCAGUGGGGAAUAUUAGACAAUGGGCGCAAGCCUGAUCCAGCCAUACCGCGUGGGUGAAGAAGGCCUUCGGGUUGUAAAGCCCUUUUGUUGGGAAAGAAAAGCAGCAGGUUAAUACCCCGCUGUUCUGACGGUACCCAAAGAAUAAGCACCGGCUAACUUCGUG